Molecule: ribosomal RNA, 253 nt
Filed under: uncultured bacterium
Lineage: Bacteria
Description: partial 16S ribosomal RNA
Rfam family: Bacterial small subunit ribosomal RNA
Source: RNAcentral
UACGUAGGGGGCGAGCGUUGUCCGGAUUUAUUGGGCGUAAAGAGCUCGUAGGCGGCCCGGUAAGUCCGCUCUGAAAGUCCAGGGCUCAACCCUGGAAAGCGGGUGGAUACUGCCGGGCUAGAAUCCGGAAGAGGCGAGUGGAAUUCCUGGUGUAGCGGUGGAAUGCGCAGAUAUCAGGAGGAACACCAAUAGCGAAGGCAGCUCGCUGGGACGUUACUGACACUGAGGCGCGAAAGCGUGGGGAGCGAACAGG